GGUCCCUCAUUUUUUCUUUUUCUCAAUUGGAUCUUUAUUUUUGAAAAAUUGAAGCAAUUAGGUCACUGUCGUUAGUUCCAUACUCACACUAUCAAAAAGGGUGACACGUGUCAGCUCGUGAUUUUUUUGAAUUUUUUAAAUAUAUUUUUAAUUAUUUUUAUAUUUAUUUUUUAUUUUUUUUCUUUAAAAAAUAAAAUUUACCACGUGUUAAGUUGACAUUGUGCCACGUAGCAAUGAUAGUGUGAGGUGGCACUAACAGUGCCACGUGUCACCGUCAA
This 278-nucleotide long non-coding RNA is filed under the name Vigna radiata. RNAcentral's name for it is "long non-coding RNA (VRAD_LNC011000)". Lineage: Eukaryota; Viridiplantae; Streptophyta; Magnoliopsida; Fabales; Fabaceae. The record is from RNAcentral.